UACGUAGGAUGCGAGCGUUGUCCGGAAUUAUUGGGCGUAAAGAGCACGUAGGCGGUUUCUUAAGUUUGGGCUUAAAGACUGGGGCUCAACCCCAGGAGUGGCUCGAAAACUGAGAGACUAGAGGAUGGCAGAGGAAAGUGGAAUUCCCAGUGUAGCGGUGAAAUGCGUAGAUAUUGGGAGGAACACCAGUGGCGAAAGCGACUUUCUGGGCCAUUCCUGACGCUGAGGAGCGAAAGUGUGGGGAGCGAACAGG
This 253-nucleotide ribosomal RNA is filed under the name uncultured bacterium. RNAcentral describes it as "partial 16S ribosomal RNA". It matches the Rfam family "Bacterial small subunit ribosomal RNA", at positions 524 to 776 of the family's 1533-position model. The record is from RNAcentral.